CUUGUUGUCCGGUGUGGGUGUCUCCGUCUCCGGCCCGUUCGACCACAGGACGUGCCGGAGAAGCCGUUCGCCGUCGCCCAGGAACCUGUCGCCGACGAAUUCCUCCGCCCGGUCGAAGAUCCGCGGGUCCCUGGUGGCGAAGGGCUGGUAGCCGAAGAGCAUCUCGCCGCGCCGCACCUCGAAGGCGGCGUCGUGGCUCUCGAUCACCAGGUCGCGCUUGGCCUUGCCGUACUGGAACGGCACGGGCGGCUCGAUCCGGAAAGCCUCGUACACCACCGACUUCAGCAGGGGCAUCUCCUCGAUGGCCCUCAUCGUCACCUGCCCGCCGUGGGCCUGGACGGCGCUCCGGACCUCCUCCGCUAGCCGGGUGUGCAGCGCCGCCCCCGCCCGCCCGACCCACUUCAUGAUGGACGGGAAGAAGAUUUUCAAGCCCCCAAAGGUGUUGAAGCACAUGGCGAACAGGAUAUUGUGGCAGGCCUCCUCCCGGGAGAUCCCCAUCCGCUCCGCCUCGUCCAGAGCCGGCGCCGCCGCCGAGUAGAAGAAGUCGUAGAGCCGCCGGUAGUCGGAUUGAACCAGGCCGGUGGGUAGGCGGACGCUGUGGAGGAGAACGUCCUCCAGCAGAUAGGGCAGGCCUAGCGUGAGAAUGGGACCGAGCUGGAAGAGAACCCAUUUGUUCACCAGACCGGGGCCGUCCGAUCCAAGCCCGCCCCCGGCGGGGUCCUUCCCGAAGAAGGCCCUGCAGACGAAGUUGAAGGAGGCCUGCUCGUUCGCCGAGCUGAAGUUGGCGGCUCCCUUCUCUGCGAGCUCCGACUCGAGGGCGUCGAACGCGGUGCCGAACGAGCUCUGGAACUCGGGGAUCAAGGUGUUCCGUGAGGACCCCAGCAGGUAGAAGAGGAAGUUCUUGAGCAGUGCGUGGUUGGGCUCCGACGGGUCGAGGUAGGAGAGCACGCGGUAGCCGCCGGUGAGAUCCAAGGAGGGCAUGAAGGUGCCGGUGAAGAGAUCCUUCUUCUCGACCUUGGAGGUGUCGAAGAGGACGGGGAAGGCGGCGCCGUCGAGUAGGGCAAUCACGCCGGGGUUGGCGGCGAGGGGCGGGCCCGGCGGCAUGUUCAGCCGGACGACGGUG
RNAcentral lists this long non-coding RNA (1123 nucleotides) under Spirodela polyrhiza (greater duckweed). RNAcentral's name for it is "long non-coding RNA (SPOL_LNC001336)". Lineage: Eukaryota; Viridiplantae; Streptophyta; Magnoliopsida; Alismatales; Araceae. The record is from RNAcentral.